UACGGGGGGGGCGAGCGUUGUUCGGAAUUACUGGGCGUAAAGGGCGCGUAGGCGGUUCGCUAAGUUGGAUGUGAAAACUCUGGGCUCAACCCAGAGCCUGCAUCCAAAACUGGCGGGCUAGAGUUCUGGAGGGGGUAGCGGAAUUCCUGGUGUAGCGGUGAAAUGCGUAGAUAUCAGGAGGAACACCGGUGGCGAAGGCGGCUACCUGGAUAGAAACUGACGCUGAGGCGCGAAAGCUAGGGGAGCAAACAGG
RNAcentral lists this ribosomal RNA (253 nucleotides) under uncultured bacterium. RNAcentral's name for it is "partial 16S ribosomal RNA". It matches the Rfam family "Bacterial small subunit ribosomal RNA", at positions 524 to 776 of the family's 1533-position model. The record is from RNAcentral.